This 66-nucleotide transfer RNA is filed under the name Neoneuromus latratus. Its description in RNAcentral is "tRNA-Phe". Lineage: Eukaryota; Metazoa; Arthropoda; Insecta; Megaloptera; Corydalidae. The record is from RNAcentral.
AUUUAAAUAGCUUAUGAAUAGAGCAUAACAUUGAAGUUGUUAAGGAGGUAAAUAUAUCUUUAAAUA